UACGAAGGGGGCUAGCGUUGCUCGGAGUUACUGGGCGUAAAGGGCGCGUAGGCGGAUGUUUAAGUCGGGGGUGAAAGCCCAGGGCUCAACCCUGGAAUUGCCUUCGAUACUGGACAUCUUGAGUACGGGAGAGGUGAGUGGAACUCCGAGUGUAGAGGUGAAAUUCGUAGAUAUUCGGAAGAACACCAGUGGCGAAGGCGACUCACUGGCCCGUUACUGACGCUGAUGCGCGAAAGCGUGGGGAGCAAACAGG
RNAcentral lists this ribosomal RNA (253 nucleotides) under uncultured bacterium. RNAcentral describes it as "partial 16S ribosomal RNA". It matches the Rfam family "Bacterial small subunit ribosomal RNA", at positions 524 to 776 of the family's 1533-position model. The record is from RNAcentral.